AUGGUUUCGACCAACCAGAGAGCAUUCAUUGCCGACCGGUGCAUCCACGACAACUUUCUGCUUGUCCAACAAAUGGUGCUUCUCCUGCACAACCUCAAGCUACCACGCAUGCUUCUCAAGCUUGAUAUUGUGCGGGCCUUUGACAGCGUCUCAUGGCCCUUACUUCUCAAGACCCUUCAACACCUUGGCUUUGGCCAACGAUGGCACGAUUGGAUCUCGAUCCUGCUCUCCACCGCCUCCACGCGUGUCUUGAUCAACGGGGGCAUGCGCCCUCCCAUUGGCCAUGCUUGCGGCCUUCAACAAGGAGAUCCAAUAUCCAUGGCAUCUCUAGCCCUUCGCAUCUCUAGCAGAUUAGCAGAUGCCCUAAACUUAAUCCCUCAAACCUUCUUCUUAUCUAGAAUGUCAAUUUUUAUUGAACUUCUGCUUAGCUAG
RNAcentral lists this ribosomal RNA (432 nucleotides) under Triticum aestivum (bread wheat). RNAcentral's name for it is "partial small subunit ribosomal RNA". Lineage: Eukaryota; Viridiplantae; Streptophyta; Magnoliopsida; Poales; Poaceae. The record is from RNAcentral.